Molecule: long non-coding RNA, 171 nt
Organism: Nanorana parkeri
Lineage: Eukaryota; Metazoa; Chordata; Amphibia; Anura; Dicroglossidae
Exons: 3
Source: RefSeq, a predicted model, not a curated record
ACAUCUCAUGGUCCUGUCAUGGUCCAGUAAGUGGGAACAUGUCAUAUAGAUUAACCUAUGUGGCUGUAUAGGUGACAGGUACUCUUUGAUUUAUUCCAGGAUCUGUGUUGGGUAAUCUUGAUGAAAAAGAUAAAAUACAGUGUUUUUUUACAUUUUCCAAAAAAAUAAAAA